RNAcentral lists this unclassified non-coding RNA (370 nucleotides) under uncultured fungus. RNAcentral's name for it is "sequence contains ITS1". The stretch from base 1 to 106 matches the Rfam family "5.8S ribosomal RNA", at positions 49 to 154 of the family's 154-position model. The record is from RNAcentral. Lineage: Eukaryota; Fungi.
UGAAAUGCGAAAAGUAAUGCGAUUUGCAUGAAUCUGUGAGUCAUCAAGUCUUUGAACGCACCUUGCACCGUAUGAGCAAUUGUACGGUAUACCUGUUUGAGAAUCGUUUCAACCCUCUCUCACACUCUUUUGUGUGAGGGGACUUGUCAGCUGUGUCUGUUGCACUCUGAUCAAAUCUAGUAGGUUGUUUGCUAGGCUGGUGGCCUGGGACACUGUGUGCUAGAGACCAAAUCCUACAUUGUAGGACUUGUCUUCUCACGGUGCGUCCUAGGUCAUUCCAAAGCUGGUCUGGCCGCAUCCUUUAACCGACCGCAAGGUCAACAUUCUUUUCUUUGAUCUCAAAUCAGGUAAGGCUACCCGCUGAACUUAA